GAGGGUACAGCUCAGUGGUAGAGUGCAUGCUUAGCAUUCACGAGAUUCUGGGUUCAAUCCCUAGUACCUUCA
Molecule: transfer RNA, 72 nt
Filed under: Camelus ferus (Wild Bactrian camel)
Lineage: Eukaryota; Metazoa; Chordata; Mammalia; Artiodactyla; Camelidae
Rfam family: tRNA
About the family: Transfer RNA (tRNA) molecules are approximately 80 nucleotides in length. Their secondary structure includes four short double-helical elements and three loops (D, anti-codon, and T loops). Further hydrogen bonds mediate the characteristic L-shaped molecular structure. tRNAs have two regions of fundamental functional importance: the anti-codon, which is responsible for specific mRNA codon recognition, and the 3' end, to which the tRNAs corresponding amino acid is attached (by aminoacyl-tRNA synthetases). tRNAs cope with the degeneracy of the genetic code in two manners: having more than one tRNA (with a specific anti-codon) for a particular amino acid; and 'wobble' base-pairing, i.e. permitting non-standard base-pairing at the 3rd anti-codon position.
Source: Rfam by way of RNAcentral